UAAGGAAUAUUGGUCAAUGGAGGCAACUCUGAACCAGCCAUGCCGCGUGCAGGAAGAAGGCCCUAUGGGUCGUAAACUGCUUUUUGAACAAGAGAAAACCCCGGUACGUGUACUGGGUUGAUAGUAUUGUUAGAAUAAGCAUCGGCUAACUUCGUGCCAGCAGCCGCGGUAAGACGAAGGAUGCAAGCGUUAUCCGGAUUCAUUGGGUUUAAAGGGUGCGUAGGCGGACUGAUAAGUCAGUGGUGAAAUCUCUCGGCUUAACCGAGAAACUGCCAUUGAUACUGUUAGUCUAGAGUACAGAUGAUGUGGGCGGAAUAUGACAUGUAGUGGUGAAAUACUUAGAUAUGUCAUAGAACACCGAUUGCGAAGGCAGCUCACAAAACUGUAACUGACGCUGAGGCACGAAAGUGCGGGGAUCAAACAGGAUUAGAUACCCCAGUAGUCCCUGAGCGGGCUGGCAAGGCGCAU
Molecule: ribosomal RNA, 468 nt
Filed under: uncultured bacterium
Lineage: Bacteria
Description: bacterial SSU rRNA
Rfam family: Bacterial small subunit ribosomal RNA
Source: RNAcentral